AUUGAACGCUGGCGGCAUGCCUUACACAUGCAAGUCGAACGGCAGCACGGGAGCAAUCCUGGUGGCGAGUGGCGAACGGGUGAGUAAGGUAUCGGAACGUGCCCAGUCGUGGGGGAUAACGUAGCGAGAGUUACGCUAAUACCGCAUACGAUCUAUGGAUGAAAGCGGGGGAUCGCAAGACCUCGCGCGAUUGGAGCGGCCGAUAUCAGAUUAGGUAGUUGGUGGGGUAAAGGCUCACCAAGCCGACGAUCUGUAGCUGGUCUGAGAGGACGACCAGCCACACUGGGACUGAGACACGGCCCAGACUCCUACGGGAGGCAGCAGUGGGGAAUUUUGGACAAUGGGCGCAAGCCUGAUCCAGCCAUGCCGCGUGCAGGAUGAAGGCCUUCGGGUUGUAAACUGCUUUUGUACGGAACGAAAAGGUUUGGCUUAAUACGUUGAACUCAUGACGGUACCGUAAGAAUAAGCACCGGCUAACUACGUGCCAGCAGCCGCCGCAG
Molecule: ribosomal RNA, 500 nt
Filed under: uncultured bacterium
Lineage: Bacteria
Description: partial 16S ribosomal RNA
Rfam family: Bacterial small subunit ribosomal RNA
Source: RNAcentral